This 53-nucleotide transfer RNA is filed under the name Thelazia callipaeda (thelaziosis nematode). It matches the Rfam family "tRNA", at positions 1 to 52 of the family's 71-position model. Rfam says of the family: Transfer RNA (tRNA) molecules are approximately 80 nucleotides in length. Their secondary structure includes four short double-helical elements and three loops (D, anti-codon, and T loops). The record is from Rfam by way of RNAcentral. Lineage: Eukaryota; Metazoa; Nematoda; Chromadorea; Rhabditida; Thelaziidae.
GGUCUCGUGGUGUAGUGGUUAGCACUCAGGACUUUGAAUCCUGCGACGGGAGU